This 262-nucleotide ribosomal RNA is filed under the name uncultured archaeon. RNAcentral's name for it is "partial 16S ribosomal RNA". It matches the Rfam family "Archaeal small subunit ribosomal RNA", at positions 748 to 1009 of the family's 1478-position model. The record is from RNAcentral.
AGGGUGUAAACGCUGCGGGCUUGGUGUUGGGGGUCCUUAGUGGGCGCCCAGUGCCGGAGAGAAGUUGUUAAGCCUGCUGCUUGGGGAGUAUGUCCGCAAGGAUGAAACUUAAAGGAAUUGGCGGGGGGAGCACCGCAACGGGAGGAGCGUGCGGUUCAAUUGGAUUCAACGCCGAAAAACUCACCAGGAGCGACGGAUAUAUGAAGGUCAAGCUGAUGACUUUACCUGAUUUUCCGAGAGGUGGUGCAUGGCGUAGUCGUGU